AUUGAAUAAAUGCUUUAUGGUGCUUUGCAGCAUGCUGCAAGCUUAAAAGGGAAGCCGGUUGAAUUCCGGCGCGGUCCCGCCACUGUAAUGCGGAGGCUCCUCCCUCGAUGCCACUGUUCCUUAGCGGACGGGAAGGCGGAAGGAGUCUGUGAUGCUGAGCCAGGAGACCUGCCAUAAAGAAGUACACAAC
This 190-nucleotide non-coding RNA is filed under the name Bacillus infantis. Lineage: Bacteria; Bacillati; Bacillota; Bacilli; Caryophanales; Bacillaceae. The record is from RNAcentral. RNAcentral also lists the same sequence under 1 other name.